Molecule: ribosomal RNA, 866 nt
Filed under: Bacillus subtilis
Lineage: Bacteria; Bacillati; Bacillota; Bacilli; Caryophanales; Bacillaceae
Description: bacterial SSU rRNA
Rfam family: Bacterial small subunit ribosomal RNA
Source: RNAcentral
CGAAAGUCUGACGGAGCAACGCCGCGUGAGUGAUGAAGGUUUUCGGAUCGUAAAGCUCUGUUGUUAGGGAAGAACAAGUACCGUUCGAAUAGGGCGGUACCUUGACGGUACCUAACCAGAAAGCCACGGCUAACUACGUGCCAGCAGCCGCGGUAAUACGUAGGUGGCAACGUGUCGGAAUUAUUGGGCGUAAAGGGCUCGCAGGCGGUUUCUUAAGUCUGAUGUGAAAGCCCCCGGCUCAACCGGGGAGGGUCAUUGGAAACUGGGGAACUUGAGUGCAGAAGAGGAGAGUGGAAUUCCACGUGUAGCGGUGAAAUGCGUAGAGAUGUGGAGGAACACCAGUGGCGAAGGCGACUCUCUGGUCUGUAACUGACGCUGAGGAGCGAAAGCGUGGGGAGCGAACAGGAUUAGAUACCCUGGUAGUCCACGCCGUAAACGAUGAGUGCUAAGUGUUAGGGGGUUUCCGCCCCUUAGUGCUGCAGCUAACGCAUAAGCACUCCGCCUGGGAUACGGUCGCAAGACUGAAACUCAAAGGAAUUGACGGGGGCCCGCACAAGCGGUGGAGCAUGUGGUUUAAUUCGAAGCAACGCGAAGAACCUUACCAGGUCUUGACAUCCUCUGACAAUCCUAGAGAUAGGACGUCCCCUUCGGGGGCAGAGUGACAGGUGGUGCAUGGUUGUCGUCAGCUCGUGUCGUGAGAUGUUGGGUUAAGUCCCGCAACGAGCGCAACCCUUGAUCUUAGUUGCCAGCAUUCAGUUGGGCACUCUAAGGUGACUGCCGGUGACAAACCGGAGGAAGGUGGGGAUGACGUCAAAUCAUCAUGCCCCUUAUGACCUGGGCUACACACGUGCUACAAUGGACAGAAC